RNAcentral lists this ribosomal RNA (253 nucleotides) under uncultured bacterium. Its description in RNAcentral is "partial 16S ribosomal RNA". It matches the Rfam family "Bacterial small subunit ribosomal RNA", at positions 524 to 776 of the family's 1533-position model. The record is from RNAcentral.
UACGUAGGGCGCAAGCGUUGUCCGGAAUUAUUGGGCGUAAAGAGCUCGUAGGCGGCUUGUCACGGCGAUUGUGAAAGCCCGAGGCUUAACCUCGGGUCUGCAGUCGAUACGGGCUAGCUAGAGUGUGGUAGGGGAGAUCGGAAUUCCUGGUGUAGCGGUGAAAUGCGCAGAUAUCAGGAGGAACACCGGUGGCGAAGGCGGAUCUCUGGGCCAUUACUGACGCUGAGGAGCGAAAGCGUGGGGAGCGAACAGG